Molecule: ribosomal RNA, 472 nt
Filed under: uncultured bacterium
Lineage: Bacteria
Description: partial 16S ribosomal RNA
Rfam family: Bacterial small subunit ribosomal RNA
Source: RNAcentral
GACGAACGCUGGCGGCGUGCUUAACACAUGCAAGUCGAACGCUGAAGCUUGGUGCUUGCACUGGGUGGAUGGGUGGCGAACGGGUGAGUAAUACGUGAGUAACCUGCCCUUGACUCUGGGAUAAGCCUGGGAAACUGGGUCUAAUACUGGAUAUGACAUGCCACUGCAUGGUGUUGUGUGGAAAGGGUUUUACUGGUUUUGGAUGGGCUCACGGCCUAUCAGCUUGUUGGUGGGGUAAUGGCCUACCAAGGCGACGACGGGUAGCCGGCCUGAGAGGGUGACCGGCCACACUGGGACUGAGACACGGCCCAGACUCCUACGGGAGGCAGCAGUGGGGAAUAUUGCACAAUGGGCGGAAGCCUGAUGCAGCGACGCCGCGUGAGGGAUGACGGCCUUCGGGUUGUAAACCUCUUUCAGCACGGAAGAAGCGAGAGUGACGGUACGUGCAGAAGAAGCGCCGGCUAACUACGUG